UGCUAUUUUGAAUUCUCUGUCUGAAAAGUCACCUCCUAUUUCUCCAGGUUUGGUCCCUCGUGCCUUAUUUAGCUCAUUUGGUGAGGUUAUGCUUCCCUGAAUGAUGUUGAUGUCUGUCACUAGUAGAUGUCCUUUGGUGUCUGGGCAUUGAAGAGUUAGGUAUUUAUUGUAGUCUUCUCAGUCUGGGCUUGUUUGUACCAGUCCUCCUUGGGAAGGCUUUCCAGAUUGUCAAAAGGACUUGGGCAUUGUGAUUUAAGCUAUAUCUGCUUUAGGGGCACCCUAAGCCCUGUAAUGCUGUGGUUCUUACAGACUCUAGAGGUACUGCCUUGAUGGUCUUGGACAAGAUGCGAAGAAUUCUCUGAUUACCAGGCAGAGACACUUGUGUUCUUCCCUUACUUUCUCCCAAAUAAAUGGAUUCUCUCUCUCCGUUCUGAGUCACCUGGAGCUGGUGGUGGUGUGACACGAAGCAUGAUUAGGACUGGGCUGGUUCAUACCUGAAGCCUGUGGAGCACUGGGUCUUGCUCAAGGCUUGUUUUAAUCAUUGCCUGGCUACAGCCUAUGUUUGCUCAAGGCCUUGGGGCUCUACAAUCAGCAGGUGGCAAAGUCAGUUAUGCCUGUGUUCUUCCCUUCAAGGCGGCAUGUUCCCCAGGCACUGAGUUCAAAGCCUCACAAAUGCUAUAAUCUCCCUCUCCCCAGCACACUAAAAUGCUCUCCAUACUAUGUCAGGGCUGCUGGAGGAUGGGGGAAAGGUGGCGUCAGUGAUUUAAGAGUGUUUUUCCUACCUCUUCAGUGUCUCUUUCAGCAAUACAAGGUUAACACCAUCUACAGUGUGCUCAUCUUUUUUUAGUUCUUAUGAAGGUGAUUUUUUUCGGUGUAGUUAUUAAAUGGGCAUCCUUGCAGGCAAGAUGGUUGGUGUCGCCUUCUAUUCUGCCAUCUUGUUCCACUCCAAAGUCUAACUGAAUUUUCUCAUUAGCUAGGAUUUAUUUACUAAAGAGAAAUUCUGCCUUCACUUUUGCCUCCCUUCACUUUUCUGUGUAACUUUUCCAGCACUUCAGACUCACCUUCUACUAGAGGCAGAGAAGGGAGAACUGACCCUGUCCUUUUACUAAAAAUGAUGAUCCCCCGAGAAAGCAGUGGAAUUCAACUCCAGGUGAGCCUGGAGGAAUCAGCCUGAAGGUGACUCUGCAGUUGCCGGCUGUUGUUCAGCAAAAUGGUCUCACUGGCCAGGAGUGAGCAGACUGUGCUUCUGGGUCCAAGCCACUGAUCACAUCUAAAGUGUUAUGCUUGAAACCCAGAAAAACAGAGGAAUGUACUCGUUGGAAAAUAUGUUUUCACCAUAAAAUUUCUGAGAAAGUAUAAGCUAUAAACUAGUUAACAUUUUUUUAAGGCAGCUGGUCAGAUAUAAAAGUAAGCUGGUGAUUGUAAAUACUAUGUCUGUGUCAGAGAAAUCGCAGAAGCACAAACAACUUUAAAAAUACUAACAGCUAGCCAGUUAAAGGAGAUAACCUUCGCCUGUUAUUUUGCUUGGGGCAGCAUACAGCCUGGAGUGGAAAACUGUCUGGCAGAAGACAGAAGACCUGGAUUUUGAAGCUUGUAUAUCCACAGAAAAUUUAUUUAUCCAGAAAUUUAAUGGUUUAACAGCCUGACUUUCGCAACUGCUAUAAAGAAGACACCACUAAUAUUUAUAUUGCUUUCAGUUUGCAGAGUCCUUUGUAGUUCACCAAGUGUGGUGGAAAUGAAGACUACAGAUCAGUGGUUCUCACAUUAGAAAUAGGGAACAUAAAAAAUACUGAUGGCCAGGCCCUACCCAUGCUGAAACUAGAAUCAGUAGGGAUAAGGCUUUGACAUUGGUAUUUUUAAAACAAGUAUCCCAGAUAGUUCUAAUAUGGUUAGCACUGUCUGAAACCAUGUUAAAAAUGGGAAAUACUGUAUGAUGGAAAAACAACUGAGGAAUAUGAACACAUUAGCCCUCCAUUUACAGGCUGAAUAGACUUUGGUGAGAAAUUUUAUCUUUAAUUCUCAAUUUCUUCAUUUGCAAAACAAGGAUAAAAAUCUUGUUAUCCCUUAUAUGGAGUUUUAAAGCUCAGGAGAGUUUCUCUGAAAACACUUCAUAAAUUAUGAUGUUCUGAUCAAAUGUCAGCUGUGACAUUGUUCUGACUCUAGUUCUAAAACACAGAAGGGUCAAUCAAAAGAGCUAAGCAAAAUUCACAGCCAGCCUGACAGCUAGAGUCACUGGAUGGCCAACUUUCCCGGAAGAAAAAAAUCUUUAAGACAUAAUACUAUGGUCAUCAAAUUCUAAAUGCCUGUCUCUGUAUUGGACUAGCUAUAAGAACAUAAAAUUCCAAGAGUAGAACUUUAGCAAGCAGUAAAAAAUAAGAAGAUUCAGGAAAAAGGAAUCCACAGGACCUCCACGGUACACCUAAAAUCCUCACUCAGGAAACAUAUAUUUCAUUUCAGUUUAGGCUAGCCCUGUUCUUUGACUACUAAAGUCAUGCUAUGAUGUAAGUAAACUAACUGGAACACAGUAAAUGCUUUAAAUGCCCAUUAGAAUACUGUCUAAUGUCUCAAUAUGAAGAAAUAGUCCCAUAAGGCUGUGUGUCUAUGUUCAUAGGCACAGUUAAAGAAAAAAGCAGCUAAAGAAGGGUGGGUUAGCCAUUAAGAAUAUAAGACCAAAGCUCUGGCCACAAAUACUGGAUCAUUGAGUCAUUAUUAACCACUCUCUUAGAGACUGUCCAUGUGUCAAGACUGUGUCUGCCUAAAGCUCUUUUUACCCAGUGAACCUAAUCCCUCAGCCUCUAUACACAGUCUAUUGGGUUCCUAGCAAUCAUUACAUUGUAACUGGCAUUCAUGAAACUAUAAUCACUGUAGGAGCAAAAAGAGAUCAGGGAACGCAGGUGGAUGCUUUCUGAAGGAGAUGAGGUCUCGGCUGAACCUUGAAGGUAGACAGGAUUGAACAGGCAAAACAAGAGGACAUUUUAAUGAAACAAAUAGCAUGACUCAUGGGAAAACUGAAGACAGAAAUAAGACAACAUUAACUGUAAUCUAUUUUCAGGUAACAAGGGUCAGAUUAUAUAGGGGUAAAAGUAGUUCCCAGAGAGGUCAAUGUAACAGUAGCAUUUUUCUCUACCACAUUCCUGAGUGUAGAUGACUUUCAAUAAAGUUGGUUGGAGAGAUUCAUGGUUUUUAGAAGAGAAAACAAAUAGCCUUCUACUGUAAAUGCACAAACUUGUUAUCCAUUCAGUCAAAAUCUAGUCAUUCUGGAAGUUUUUGUUUUUGUUUUGUUUUGCUUUUAGGAUCUUCUGUUGAGUGAGGCUCUGUGCUAAGUAUUGAGGACUCAUUGCUGGACAAAUCACGAUUCCUGUCCUCCAGCAGUUUACAACAGUCUUGCCAUUUUAAAAACCCAGAAAAAUAGAAGAACUCCUUGGGACCAAGUUUAAAUCCUGGUACAAAGACAGUUAUGUCUGGAGUCUAUAAUGGAACCAAGUCAUACCCCUUACAAGUUCCAAAUUCAGAAACCAGACAUCACGUCAUUGAUGUGUCAUCAAAAGCAGUGCCAGACUUCCUGUUCUCCCUGGGAAGGAUUCAAUGGCUAGUGAAAAUACAUAGAGGAGGUCACCCUGGGGAUUCAGCCCAAAUAUAUACAUGCCAAGAAAAUGCCAAAUCCAGGGCCUCAAGAUGUGAAAUCAGUUUUGCGCAGAUGCAACGGGGCAGCUUCUGAACUGAACUGCCAGCAAGCCUUAGAUUUUCAUCAUUGAUUCAUUCUUUAGUCAAAUAGGGAUGUUCCAAUAUUUUAUCAAUGUCUGUGCUCUAAGCAAGACUCUCAGAGGUGAAAUAUGUGUACAUUUACCCACACACAUAGAUAUGGUACCUUCAAAGAACAAAUAUAUAAAUGGUUCAAUCUUCCAGAAAAGAUUAAAAUUGUAUAAAUAAUAGAAGUAACAGAUGUGUCCUGACAUACUGGCGGAGUAAAUAAAUAGUAGAAAACUGUGUGUGCAUUAUAGUCUGAGGAAAAAUAACUUUAUGAAAUUCUGGUACAAAUCAUGUGUAUAAUUUCUCCUUUUUGUAAUAUUAUGAAAUAUUAAUAUUAUUGACUAUUGUUAAUCAAGUUGUACCAAAGCGAGUUACACAUUUUUAAGGAGGUUAUCUGCAUUUUUGCACUGAGGAAAAAAUAUAUAACAUUUGAAAACUGCAUAACUUAAAUGGUCUUGCAUGCUCACCCUAUCAAAUGCAUUUGGGAAGAGGUUCAUUCCUUUGUUAGGGUCUAACAUAAUUGCCUAUGGGAUGUCCAUUGUACGGUAGCCUUGAGGAGCCACAAAUCCCAUACUUCAAAAUAUUAUAAAGAAGCUGGUGCUAGGAAGGAGGUCAGAAGCCUGCAGAAACUCCAGUAUAAAGCUCAGAAAAAAAUAUCUGUGUUUGUUCACCCUCAGGGCAUUCCUACUCUGGGACAAGGUGCACUUGGAGAGAGUAAAGUCUCCCACCUUCCAAAGGCUACAAGUAAUAAGGAUAGUAUCUAAUCAUGUUUGAUUGUUGUAUUUUUGGGGGCAAUAAUGAGGGUGUGAAACCCUUUGUUUAAUUUUUGUGACCUGAAUUUUUAUUGUCAUUGUAAAUAAAAUAAUUAAAGUUCUAUUUAACACAGAAAAGAAGUCACCCAGAUUGGGGACAGAUUCUAAAAAAGAAUGGAAUGAAGACACUUUCAGGUUAAAAGGAACAGCAUUUGAACAUGCAGAAAGCGGUAGUAAUACUACUGCUAAUAAUAAUGUGCAUUUACUAUGUGAUUACGCUAAGUAUCAUGCUUAAUAAUUUACAUGCAUUCCCUCAAGGUAUGUCCCAAAAGUCUUUCAGUUAGAUGUUCCAUCAACAUUUUGCAAAUGAUGCAAUGAAUUGCAAACUCUCAAUGAAGCAAUAUAGCAUAGUUGAGGAGCUACAAGUAGUCUGUUAGUUCUGGAGUACAAGCUCCUCUAGGAAAGCAGGAAAAGUAGACUUGUAUUUUGUAUUCAAGUCUAAUAUUAAUAGUACAAUUAGCGUGAACAGUUAUGGGACAGAAAAGCUUCUCAAUGUUUUUUUCUCCUCCAUUUAAUACUAAGAUGUUUCUCAAGGCGAGACUAUUUUGAAUGACUAUACAGCUACCUACUGGAUUUCCUUUGUCCUUUUAGUUCUCCAGACUUUAAUCCAGGUUGCAGUCCUCUGAAAUUAAAGAGUAAAUGGAAAAGAUAUGAAACAUCUAGGGAGUUUUUCACCAUCUAAGUAUAUAAAGUUCUGUAAUGUCAGUUACUAAGAUGGCUUAGUUCUUUUGGGCUACUAUAACAAAAUACCAGAAACUGAGUAGCUAUAAACGGCAGUCAUUUAUUUCUCACAGUCUUGACAGCUGCAAGCCUGAGUUCAAAUUGCCUGCAGAUUUUUUGUUUGUUGAGGGCCUGCUCACUUUCUGAUUCAUAAAUGGCCCCUCAUAUGAUAUUUCUUCACAUGGUAGAAGAGACAAGGCAGCUCUCUGGGGCCUCUUUUAUGAAGACUUUGCCCUAAUGAUCUACUCACCUCCCAAAGUCCUCACCUCCUAAAAUGAUCACACUGGUGAUUAAGUUACUUAUGAAGUUUGAGGGGACACAAACAUCAGACCAUAGCAUAGGGUUUGCCAUGGUACCUAUAUAGAUCCCUCAUGAUGGAAUUAGGCCCCUUAUAUAAGGGGUUGAGGGCCUGGGUCUGUCUAGGCCCUCCUCUGAUGCUUAACCUGCCAGUGCCUUCAUCUUGGACUUCUUAGCCUCCAGAACUAUAAGACAUAAAUUUCCAUUGUGUACAAAUUACCCAGUCUUGAGUAUUUUCUUACAGUAGCACUAACAGAUAAGAACAAAUGUCAAGCUGCCUUGUGAACUUUCUGUGCUGCCAAAAAUUAAAACAAAAAUGAAGAUGUCUCUUCCCUUACAAAUUUGCAAUGAAUAGAUUUCUGAGUUUAAACCAGAGUUCCAGAAGAUUUUAUUACCUUCAAUGUAAGUGCAAAGGAGAUGUUUAUAUUUCAAAAUGUAUGUAACUUUAUUAUUAGAGUCCAUCUAACCUUCAAUUUAAAGUAAUUAAUCUGCAAUGUAAUGACCUGCUAAAAAGCAACUAUCAAGAGAAGAAUCUAACAGAAUUCCAUAAAUGAUCAACUAACAUGGAUUAAUAUCAAUAUUUGGCAGUAUCUUUGUGGAAAAGUGUUUUAAAGAUCAAAUAUGUUUUACAUAUAAUAUUACAGAUAAGCAUUAACAGAAGCAAAUUUGCAGUUGAUUUUGUUAAGAGAGAACACCACCUCUGAAUUUCAAUUAAGAAAAACAUUAUCCUCCCCAAAAAAUUCAGUUUUCUCAUUAGUGGAUCUGUAUCACAAACAACAUAUUAUUAUACAUAAUGUGACUUAGAGUAUUACAUAUAACAUUAUAUUGCUAUUACUUUUAAAAAAGUAAUUUGAAAUUUGGAAAUUUGGCUUCUUUCUUGUUAUAAGUAUGAAAUUCCCAUUUUUGCCUCUUGACUGUUUGCUGCAACAAAGUCUAAAAUAUUUACUAUAUGUUCCUUUACAGAAAAAGUUUACCAAUCCCAGGUCAAGAAAAACUAUGCUGCAGUAACAAUGAACCCUGAAAUGUCAGUGGUUUAAUACAAGAGGGGUUUAUUUACUGUUCAUGACUCAGCCUAAUGUGGGUCCUGCAAUUCUUCAUGCCCUCCUCCAGUGGUGACACAGGGAUCCAGGCAUCUUUCAUCUUGCAAUUCUGUCAUUUUGGAGUUCUUUAUUUCCACACUUUUAUUUGAAAGGGAGAGAAUAAGAAAAAUUCACAACUGUGUAUCUAGGUUGGAAUGGAAGUGAUGUAUCACUUAUGAUCAUAUUUGAGAGUCAUCAGAAUAGGAUAAUAUUUAAUGACCUGGUAAUGAAUGAGAUCAUAUACAAAGAAAAUAGACUGAGAAGAGAAAAAUCACUCAAGGAACAUACCCCAACACACCUUGAUAUAUAGCUGCACAGAAGCAAAGAGGAAAAUAAAUAGAGAAAGCUGUUGAGAAUGACAGUCAGAAGAGAAGGAAAACCAGACUUUGAUAUCACAAAAGUCCAACAAAGUCUCAAAAUGAAAAGAGAGAGUUAUAGUCUGUAAUAUCAAUUACUUAGUGUUAAGUGUGACUAAGACAAGUCAAAAUUCCCAUGAACUGAAUUUCCCACACCUGUAUAAUAAUAUAUUGAUAAUAUCUACUUCAAAAGAUCUAAUAUGAAGAUGAAAGGCAACUAUAUAUUUGAAAGUACUAUAAUUCCUACACAAAUUAUGAUGAUAAUUAUCAUUGCAGUCGCAUGACAGAGGCACCUCUACUCUGUGCCAAACUUCCUUGAAGAGUUAGAAUUCUCCCAUAACCUACCUUAACCAUUGCCUCCAACUUAACAUAUCAGAUUUUACCAAACUAGUUUGGGUGUGGAAAACCACAGUCUAAUUGAAAUGCAGUGAUUCCCAGCCUGAAGCAUUUCAGAGGCAGACCUACCUGAGUAUAUGAAUCUCUCUUUCAGUAGAAUGGGAGUGGUGUGUUAAAUCUUUACAAUUUUUCUGGGACAAAGAACCAACUCAAACUGGCAGCUACUGAGCCACCACAAGGCCAUAGGCAAACACAGUAAGCUAUAGAUUGAAAUUCUAGUAAGUAGUGCCUCAAACUGCAGGAAAUCAUAAAAGCAACUGAAUGAAAGCUGUGUCUGAAGCUCUCUGGCCAUUAGGCAUGACCAACAGUGAAGGUAAAAAUAAACAAAUAUAAAAAUAUGUCUCUACUUAACUCUAAACUUUCACUUCACAAAUUUUUAUUCAAAGACAUUUGCAAAAGUACAGAGGUUGGUUAUGUUUUUCUUUCUUUCUUCUUUUUUAUGAUACAUUGAAAUUAUCCAAUUGAAACCAUAUGUUGGCUCAAUAAUUCUCAAUUGCAAAAUGCUCACUAUUUCAAGAGCCAAUAAAAAGGGGAGGGACUAAUGUAGCAAGAUAAAUACUCUUGGAUAUGUGGAACCCUGUGUUUCCAAUUUAUCGGAACAGAGGAAAAGUUGCCUUUUUGAUUAAUUAUGUACAGAGCAGAAAUGCAAUGCUACUGAGGUAAUGAUGCACUGAUGUAUUGGAAAACACAUAUAAUUUGGAGAGAAACAAACCUAGGUUCAAAACCAGCUUUUCUACAUUUUCACUCUGUGUUCUUUUAAAGCAUUUGUAAUCUCACUGAGGCUCAGUUUCAUUUCUUGUAAUAUGAAGCUAAUAAUGCCUACCUUGCAAAACUGUCAUGUGGAACAAAUAAGCUUAAGAAGAUAAAGAAUAUAUAUGUCUGUCAUAUAGUUGGGCCUUGACAAUAAAUAAAAUGGAUGAUAACCUGA
Non-coding RNA from Macaca mulatta (Rhesus monkey), 8338 nucleotides. The record is from RefSeq and is a predicted model, not a curated record. Lineage: Eukaryota; Metazoa; Chordata; Mammalia; Primates; Cercopithecidae.